UACGUAGGGUCCGAGCGUUGUCCGGAUUUAUUGGGCGUAAAGAGCUCGUAGGCGGUUUCGUAAGUCGGAUGUGAAAACUCAGGGCUCAACCCGGAGACGCCAUCCGAUACUGCGAUGACUGGAGUCUGGUAGGGGAUCACGGAAUACCUGGUGUAGCGGUGAAAUGCGCAGAUAUCAGGAGGAACACCGGUGGCGAAGGCGGAUCUCUGGGCCGAUACUGACGCUGAGGAGCGAAAGCGUGGGGAGCGAACAGG
RNAcentral lists this ribosomal RNA (254 nucleotides) under uncultured bacterium. RNAcentral's name for it is "partial 16S ribosomal RNA". It matches the Rfam family "Bacterial small subunit ribosomal RNA", at positions 524 to 776 of the family's 1533-position model. The record is from RNAcentral.